This is a long non-coding RNA of Felis catus (domestic cat), 1677 nucleotides long. RefSeq lists it as uncharacterized. Lineage: Eukaryota; Metazoa; Chordata; Mammalia; Carnivora; Felidae. The transcript is spliced from 3 exons. The record is from RefSeq and is a predicted model, not a curated record.
CCUUCUUAAAAGCAGAGGAGGGAAGCAGAAGAGAACCAGUGGGAGUCUUGACCACAGAAGCAUAGUCAGGGAGCUGCAAUACUGGCUUCGAAGAUGGAGGAUGGGGUCGUCUAUGCAAGGGAUGCAGUUGUCUGCUGAAAGUUGGAAAAGGUGUAAGAGGAGAGCCUGUGAAGGAGGCAGACAGUCUCCCAUCUUCACUGCACAUCCUCUGUGAGAAGUAUACAGACUGUUCCGAAGAACCAGAGGAGAGACAGACUGCUUCUUGCAACCAUGGCUUGUUGAUGAUAUUCUUUGCUCAGCCCUAUGUGACAGAUUUUACUUUGGUGGCCCUGGAGAACCAUACAGUCUAUUGUACAUGCUCUUCUGUAGUACCCUCCUCUUGAAUCUGGCUGACAUCACUUUCCCCAGAGCAAUGAGACAGAAGUCACAAUGUGAGAGUUUCAACGUCAAGCCUUGAGAAGGUCUGGCAGCUUCCAUAUUUGAACUAUUGGAAUCUGGCCCCCAUGUCAGAGUUCUCGCUACCCUGAGACCAUCUUCUGUUGGAAUCUCAAACAGCCACAUGAAGAGGCUCAAUUAAAUCAAGGCCACUGCAAUGUCAAUUGCCAGCCGUAAGAAUGAGGACACUUUGGACCUUUCAAGCAUCUCAUCUGAUACCACCUAAAACAAAAUAAUUCAGUUUACUCACAUAACCAUGAGGUAUAAUUAAGUGUUGUUUAUUUGAGCCACUGUAUUCCAGAGUGGUUUGUUACAUUGUAAUAGAGAACUGAAAUGGCCAGUUAGUUGAAGGACACUGCUACAGUCACUCUUUUGUUGCUGUUAGAAGCUUUUGGACCUCAGCAUUAGAAUUUAUUUGAGAAGGUAUAAUUUUUGUGUUCUAUCGCUACAAUUAUUAGUCUCUUUCAUUGCUUUAUUUCUCUUUUGGUGGUAUUUUCUUGCCGAUUCUGUCUGCAUGGAAUCUUCCUAUACCUACUGUACCUCUGUUGAGUUUAGCUCUUACAUCAACUUGAGAGAACAGGAAAACUUUGAAGAAAGUAAAGUUGUGUUGUCACUACUGUUUUCCUUGUUUCUUUUAGAUGUUUUUCAAGAGAAAGAUGAAAUAGAUCCCUAAUGGUAAUGUGUCCAAACCUUAAAUGAAAGUCUAUCAACAGUGCUCUUAGCACUGAGGUUCAUUAAGCAUUCUAGAUUUUAUAUUAGAAGACAUUUGUUACUUUUGUUGCCACUUUGUUUUUUUUUUUUUUUUAAUUCCAGUAUAGUUAACACACAGUGUCCUAUUACUUUUCAGGUGUGCAUUACAGUGAUUCAAUAAUUCUAUGUAUUAUUCAGUGCUCACCAUGACGGAUGUACUCUUCAUCCCCUCAACCUAUUUCACCCAUCCCCCCACCAACCCUUCUGUAACCAUCAGUUUAUUCUUUAUAGUUGAGAGUCCGCUUUUUUUGGUUUCUCUCUCUUUUUUUUUUUGUCUUGCCUAUUAAAUUCCACAUAUGAGUGAAAUGAUAUGGUAUUUGUCUUUCUCUGACAUCUUUAACUUAGUGCUAUACCCUCUAGAUACAUCCAUGUUACUGAAAAUGGUAACAUCGAAUUUGCCACCUAUUGGUUGAUGGACACUUGGGCUGCUUCCAUAAUUUGGCUAUUAUAACACUGCAAUAAACAAAAGAGUGUAUAUAUUUUUUCAUAUCA